Molecule: unclassified non-coding RNA, 314 nt
Filed under: plant metagenome
Description: partial contains 5.8S ribosomal RNA, internal transcribed spacer 2, and large subunit ribosomal RNA
Rfam family: 5.8S ribosomal RNA (bases 1-105)
Source: RNAcentral
GAAAUGCGAUAAUUAAUGUGAAUUGCAGAAUUCAGUGAAUCAUCGAGUCUUUGAACGCACAUUGCGCCCCCUGGUAUUCCGGGGGGCAUGCCUGUCCGAGCGUCAUUGCUGCCCUCAAGCACGGCUUGUGUGUUGGGCUUCCGUCCCUGGCAACGGGGACGGGCCCAAAAGGCAGUGGCGGCACCAUGUCUGGUCCUCGAGCGUAUGGGGCUUUGUCACCCGCUCCCGUAGGUCCAGCUGGCAGCUAGCCUCGCAACCAAUCUUUUUAACCAGGUUGACCUCGGAUCAGGUAGGGAUACCCGCUGAGCUUAAGC